RNAcentral lists this ribosomal RNA (397 nucleotides) under uncultured bacterium. RNAcentral describes it as "partial 16S ribosomal RNA". It matches the Rfam family "Bacterial small subunit ribosomal RNA", at positions 523 to 918 of the family's 1533-position model. The record is from RNAcentral.
AUACGUAGGGGGCGAGCGUUGUCCGGAAUGAUUGGGCGUAAAGGGCGCGUAGGCGGCCCGGUAAGUCUGGAGUGAAAGUCCUGUUUUUAAGAUGGGAAUUGCUUUGGAUACUGUCGGGCUUGAGUGCAGGAGAGGUAAGUGGAAUUCCCCGUGUAGCGGUGAAAUGCGUAGAGAUUGGGAGGAACACCAGUGGCGAAGGCGACUUACUGGACUGUAACUGACGCUGAGGCGCGAAAGUGUGGGGAGCAAACAGGAUUAGAUACCCUGGUAGUCCACACUGUAAACGAUGAAUGCUAGGUGUAGGGGGUAUCGACCCCUUCUGUGCCGCAGUCAACACAAUAAGCAUUCCGCCUGGGGAGUACGGCCGCAAGGUUGAAACUCAAAUGAAUUGACGGGG